GUAGGGAAUAUUGGGCAAUGGAUGCAAGUCUGACCCAGCCAUCCCGCGUGCCGGAAGAAGGCCCUCAGGGUUGUAAACGGCUUUUGACGGUGAAGAACCGACAGGAUGCGUCCUGUUUUGACGGUAGCCGUUGAAUAAGCACCGGCUAACUCCGUGCCAGCAGCCGCGGUAAUACGGAGGGUGCGAGCGUUGUCCGGAUUUAUUGGGUUUAAAGGGUGCGUAGGCUGGAAGGUCAGUCAGCGGUGAAAAGCUAUCGCUUAACGAUAGUCUUGCCGCAGAUACUUCCUUUCGUGGAUGAGGAGGAGGCCACUGGAACGGAUGGUGUAGCGGUGAAAUGCAUAGAUAUCAUCCAGAACACCGAUUGCGAAGGCAGGUGGCUGUACCUUAAUCGACGCUGAUGCACGAAAGCAUGGGGAGCAAACAGGAUUAGAUACCCGGGUAGUCC
Molecule: ribosomal RNA, 445 nt
Filed under: uncultured bacterium
Lineage: Bacteria
Description: partial 16S ribosomal RNA
Rfam family: Bacterial small subunit ribosomal RNA
Source: RNAcentral